This is an RNA transcript of Dipodomys spectabilis (banner-tailed kangaroo rat), 3809 nucleotides long. It is a transcript of the gene named G-patch domain containing 2 like, with no coding region annotated. NCBI's taxonomy places the organism in Eukaryota, Metazoa, Chordata, Mammalia, Rodentia, Heteromyidae. The record is from RefSeq and is a predicted model, not a curated record. The transcript has 12 exons.
CCGGAAAUGAGGUCAGAGAGGGAAACUCCGGCGGGGAGACUCUGCCCAAAAAGCGGCGCCCUUCGGAGCUGGCGGCGGCAGCGGAUGUGGCCUCAUGGAUGAGCUGGUACAUGAUCUAGCUUCAGCCUUGGAGCAGACAUCUGAGCAGCAUAAGCUUGGUGAGCUGUGGGAGGAGAUGACCCUGAGUCCCCGGCAACAGAGGCGGCAGCUUCGGAAGCGCCGAGGCCGGAAACGCAGGUCUGACUUUACUCACCUGGCGGAGCAUACCUGCUGCUACAGUGAGGCCUCGGAGUCAAGUCUGGAUGAGACCAUCAAGGACUGUCGAGAAGUGGCCCCAGCCACCAAUUUCAGUGACUCAGAUGAUACCAUGGUGGCCAAACGACACCCAGCUCUCAAUGCCCUAGUUAAGAGUAAGCAACAUUCUUGGCAUGAAUCUGACUCCUUUACUGAAAAUGCACCUUGUCGACCACUCAGACGCCGGCGGAAGGUGAAGCGAGUGACAUCAGAAGUAGCUGCCAGCCUUCAGCAGAAGUUGAAGGUGUCAGAUUGGAGCUAUGAGAGAGGCUGCAGGUUCAAGUCUGCUAAGAAGCAGCGCCUGUCCCGCUGGAAGGAGAAUACUCCCUGGACCUCAUCAAGCCAUGGGUUGUGUGAAUCAGCAGAAAGUAGGACUUUCCUAAGCAAAACAGGAAGAAAAGAAAGGAUGGAGUGUGAAGCUGAUGAACAGAAACAGGGCUCUGAUGAGAACAUGUCAGAAUGUGAAACCAGCAGUGUGUGUAGCAGCAGUGACACUGGGCUCUUUACCAAUGAUGAAGGACGGCAAGGGGAUGAUGAGCAGAGUGAUUGGUUCUAUGAAGGAGAAUGUGUCCCAGGAUUCACUGUCCCUAAUCUUCUACCCAAGUGGGCUCCUGAUCACUGCACUGAAGUAGAAAGAAUGGACUCUGGACUGGAUAAACUUUCAGACCCCACAUUCCUUUUACCUUCCCGGCCAGCUCAGAGAGGGUACCAUGCUCGCUUAAAUCGCCUGCCAGGAGCUGCAGCUAGAUGCCUCAGGAAGGGACGAAGAAGGCUGGUUGGGAAGGAGGCCAGCAUAAGCACUCUUGGUACUGAGAGGAUAAGCCAUAUCAUCAGUGACCCCCAACAGAAAGAAAAGAAUAAAGCGUUGGCUUCUGAUUUUCCUCACAUUUCUGCUUGUACACAUGAGUCUAAUCCUCUCUCUCCCCUUUACUCUCUGGAUGUUCUUACUGAUGCUUCUCAUCGAAGAUGCUCACCAGCACACUGCUCUGCCAGACAGGGAAACAUACACUGGGGAUCACCAUGUACACGUGACAUCAAGAGGAAACGGAAGCCUGUGGCCACAGCAUCUCUGUCUAGCCCUAGUGCAGUUCACAUGGAAGCGAUGGAGCCAGCUCCAGCAGCCCCGCCGACAGUGCAAGUCCCACAGUCUCCAGACUCUGAGUGGUUGAUCAGGACCUCUACCAUAGACAAAGCCACUGACUCAACUGCAGCCACGUUUUUUAAGACACCCCAGGAAAAGGGCUCUGGAUGCAGCUAGAGAGCACUGUCACCACAGGACCUGAAACUGUGUGCAGUCUCUCCUAGCUCCACUGUCCAGUUCUUUCACUUCACACCUGGCUGAGGACUUGUGCACUUAGAGAAUCAUAUUGUGGGAAUCUUAAUACUUUCUUUCUUUUAAUUAGUAAAGUAUGGAAGCCACAAUUCAAGAGAAGGAUGCCUAUGCUAUGUCCUGUUUAUUACGUUAUUAUCCUUUUAUCUACAGCUUCCGUUAGAGAGCUGUUGCUUUUUUGCAGAUGUUGUUCCUGAAAUACUAGAAAUGGCUUUUGCAUAUCUUUUGUAUAAAGCUUUUAAUAUUUGAGGAAGUCCCAAAUUUACAUCCAGUUCCAAAACCAAUUCCUGAAUGGAGCUUUGCUUGCAGGAGAUGAGGCUUGCUGUUGAACUAGGCCUUGGUUCAUCUAGAGUGCCAAUACCAUAUGUCAAUCAAGGUUUCAGUUUGUGGCCUCAAGAGACACCAGCAGCAUGGGAACUUCAUGCCUGCAGCUGGUGUAAUAGGAUCACCUGCAGCUGCAUUGUCCUUUCCCUCAUCUCCAAAGUUGUUCUGCUGAAAGAGGACAUUGUCUAUACAUACACAUUGCUGUAAUGAUAUGGAGACAUAGUUUAGGUGGGCAGCAAACUUGACAUGGUCAGUGGAUGAUGUCAUCCUUCAGGUCUCUGUGUAAGCCUUAUGUCCUAAGUGGAACUUCACUGUUACUGUUAGAGGUCAAUGACCUACAGUAGAAACUGACACUUUUAUUAUAAAAAUGGUUUCUUGGGGCCAUGAUUUGGAGAGGAAAAAAUGUCUUUUGACAUGCCUUUCUACUUGGUGUGUUCAUGACUGCUCAGCUGCAUGUAGAGUUAUAUAUACAGUCGUGCCUGAAGUUGGAUAUUACUUUGUCAAAUUGAGGAAUAAGUGACUGCCGGGAGCUGCUGGAGAAAAGUGACAAGCUUUCUCAAAAGUAUUAUCAAGAAUGUCUGUCAUGCAGGGGUCUGGUUGACAGAGGGUUCUUUUUUUGUAUGAACUGAGUGCUUUUACUCUGAAGGACAUGAAAGCUGUUUGUUACAUGCUCACUGUUCUGGUCACCUGGGAAAGGAGCAUGUGCAUACACACAUGCCCCGGUGUUUUGUUUUAAUGUAGGUGUGGGUGGUACUGUGCUUCCUUUCCCUAGAGUGAAAUUGUCCCUCCCACACAGAGUGUAAUUAUUGGUGUGUUGCUUUACUGUGUUCUCUUUAAAAAUUACAGUUCCUAUCGGUGGAAACUCCAGAAUUUCGUUGUCAAUGAGGUGGGCAGGUGGUUGGGUAUGAAUCUUGUCAUUGUACUUUAUGUAAGUGUGAGAUGAUAUGAGUUGGCCCCCACAAGGGAUAUGGUGGAGGCUGGGGCAGAUGGAGGAUGUGGGAUGGGAGAACAGUGUUAAAGCCCAGGCAUCUUCAGAAUCACCCCUGAAGGAGUGAGAGUUCUGUUGGAGUGUCAAGACUGCACUUCUGUUCCCUGUGAGCUGUACCCACAGAGGUAGAGAGAAGGUGGUGCCUGUUAGCUCUACUGGCUCUACUGAAUUAUCUCAGUGAUGAAGACAAAACUGUCAAGACUUGGGACUAAAACAUUUCAAACACAAUAUUGAAGAGUGGACUGAAGAUGUACAUGAAGGAAGCAACCUUGGUGAGGCUGGGAAGUCGGAAGGCAAAGAGAAAAGAAGAUGCACCAACCAGGGGCUCAAAGGGUGUUCCCUGGUCCCAGUGGUCCCCUAAGUUGGCAGCCUGCUGAUCCAGAGAUGGGGUGGGGGAGGCCCAGCAAGCUUCUAACAAGCUCUCCAGGGUAUUGAAUAUAGGCACUGAACCACAGUUGAAUAGAGAUGUCUUAACAUACCAGUAUCAUAAGGUCAGGUGCUAUAGCUCCUCCAGAAGUAAAGUCUUUUGUAUAUGACUACUGUUAAUGUCUAUUUCCCAGAUUUUCUCUUGGCAGGAUCCUGAAAGAUUGGAAAUACUGAGAAAGGAUGAUAUGUAAGAUGGAUGGGAAGAACCUUUUUAAAUGGAAUCUUGAACUGAGAAGAGGACCCCAAGUCCAUUUCUACAUAAAGAUGCUUUCCAUCAAAUGUUUUUUUUUUAGUCUGGCUUUGUACAACCAGUCAGUGUUUGGCUGUAGGUGAUGAGACAGACAUACUUUCUUGUACCAUUUUAGUUUUGGACUCCCAUUUUAUUAAGGAAACUUUGUUGUUUUAGGCACUGGCCUUGCUAUUAAUAAAGUGGAACUUGAUUUCCCA